AUACGGCUAUCGUACUCAUGCAGUCGAACGGUGAAGCCAAGCUUGCUUGGUGGAUCAGUGGCGAACGGGUGAGUAACACGUGAGCAACCUGCCCUGAACUCUGGGAUAAGCGCUGGAAACGGUGUCUAAUACUGGAUAUGAGCUGCGGAGGCAUCUUCGUGGUUGGAAAGAUUUUUCGGUUUGGGAUGGGCUCGCGGCCUAUCAGCUUGUUGGUGAGGUAAUGGCUCACCAAGGCGUCGACGGGUAGCCGGCCUGAGAGGGUGACCGGCCACACUGGGACUGAGACACGGCCCAGACUCCUACGGGAGGCAGCAGUGGGGAAUAUUGCACAAUGGGCGGAAGCCUGAUGCAGCAACGCCGCGUGAGGGAUGACGGCCUUCGGGUUGUAAACCUCUUUUAGCAGGGAAGAAGCGUGAGUGACGGUACCUGCAGAAAAAGCGCCGGCUAACUACGUGCCAGCAGCCGCGGUAAUACGUAGGGCGCAAGCGUUAUCCGGAAUUAUUGGGCGUAAAGAGCUCGUAGGCGGUUUGUCGCGUCUGCUGUGAAAACCCGAGGCUCAACCUCGGGCCUGCAGUGGGUACGGGCAGACUAGAGUGCGGUAGGGGAGAUUGGAAUUCCUGGUGUAGCGGUGGAAUGCGCAGAUAUCAGGAGGAACACCGAUGGCGAAGGCAGAUCUCUGGGCCGUAACUGACGCUGAGGAGCGAAAGGGUGGGGAGCAAACAGGCUUAGAUACCCUGGUAGUCCACCCCGUAAACGUUGGGAACUAGUUGUGGGGUCCAUUCCACGGAUUCCGUGACGCAGCUACGCAUUAAGUUCCCCGCCUGGGGAGUACGGCCGCAAGGCUAAAACUCAAGGAAUUGACGGGGACCCGCACAAGCGGCGGAGCAUGCGGAUUAAUUCGAUGCAACGCGAGAACCUUACCAAGGCUUGACAUACACGAGAACGCUGCAGAAAUGUAGAACUCUUUGGACACUCGUGAACAGGUGGUGCAUGGUUGUCGUCAGCUCGUGUCGUGAGAUGUUGGGUUAAGUCCCGCAACGAGCGCACCCUCGUUCUAUGUUGCCCAGCACGUAAUGGUUGGGGACUCAUGGGAUACUGCCCGGGUCACUCGGAGGAGUUGGGAUGACGGUCCAAUCAUCAUGCCCCAUUAUGGUUCUUGGGGG
RNAcentral lists this ribosomal RNA (1163 nucleotides) under Microbacterium sp. RNAcentral describes it as "bacterial SSU rRNA". It matches the Rfam family "Bacterial small subunit ribosomal RNA", at positions 37 to 1215 of the family's 1533-position model. Lineage: Bacteria; Bacillati; Actinomycetota; Actinomycetes; Micrococcales; Microbacteriaceae. The record is from RNAcentral.